UAAUACGUAGGACCCGAGCGUUGUCCGGAAUUACUGGGUAUAAAGGGUGCGCAGGCGGCCGUGUGCGUCAGAGGUGAAAUCUCCGGGCUUAACCCGGAGGGUGCCUUUGAUACGGCAUGGCUUGAGUCCGAGAGAGGGUGAUGGAAUUCCUGGUGUAGCAGUGAAAUGCGUAGAUAUCAGGAGGAACACCGGUGGCGAAGGCGGUCACCUGGCUCGGCACUGACGCUUAGGCACGAAAGCGUGGGGAUCAAACAGGAUUAGAUACCCUGGUAGUCCACGCCCUAAACGAUGUAUGCUUGGUGUUGGAUCAGCAAUGAUUCAGUGCCGAAGGGAAUCUGUUAAGCAUACCACCUGGGGAGUACGAUCGCAAGGUUGAAACUCAAAUGAAUUGACGG
This 395-nucleotide ribosomal RNA is filed under the name bacterium enrichment culture. Its description in RNAcentral is "bacterial SSU rRNA". It matches the Rfam family "Bacterial small subunit ribosomal RNA", at positions 521 to 916 of the family's 1533-position model. The record is from RNAcentral.